ACCCAAUCUGCACAUGGGCCCCCGAAGUGUAUAAUUGCCAACAAAGAGAAAGGAUGGAAGGAAAAUCUAUUUUAAGACUGAUGAAAAUCUGUUUUCAGUAGAAUAUAUCAAUCAAUCAGUGGAAUCUUUGACACACCCUAGGCCCGUAACCAGAGUUUUGAAAAGGGGGCUUCGAAUUUUUCCAUCAACGAUAUGGCGAAGGGGAAAGGUCCGGGAGGAGGUGUCCCCCACCUGCAUUCGGGGAUUUGGAGGUCCUCUCUUGGAAAAUGUUGAAAAUGAAACGUAAAAUCCUGCAUUCUGGCGACUUUUUAUCGGUCUUUAGAAACUAAAGUUAUAGAUAAUUUUUAUAUGAAAUUUCACUUUCAUUGACCAUACUUUGUGACUGAUCGACAGGAAUAUGAUUAAAUUACAUACUUGUA
Molecule: long non-coding RNA, 419 nt
Organism: Dreissena polymorpha
Lineage: Eukaryota; Metazoa; Mollusca; Bivalvia; Myida; Dreissenidae
Exons: 2
Source: RefSeq, a predicted model, not a curated record